GAGUCAAUGUUGGACUUGUGACUAGGAGCUGGCAGUGGAAACCCUAAAUCCCGGGGUUUGCACCUCUAUUUAAAGGGGUCUUAGCCUCCUUUGGCCUCUUUACAGUCCUUGAGAGCCCCUUAAAACCCUAAUCCGUGUGUGUGUGCCUUGGUGUGGUGUUUGAAGCUUGGAAAAGAGGAUAUUGAACGAAGAAGCUAAGAGUGCAAAGGAAAUUGAAGCAAGGAAGGAGUGGGAAGCAGGAUUUACCUCAGCUAGCAUCCUUUGGAGGUGGUAGAGCCUCUGUCAAGUGAUCCGAGAGUUGUUGUAGUUUACCUUUCAUGUCGACAUCUGCGAGGUGAGUUAUCCUCACUAUAUCGUUAGGGUCUACGGCACAAAGGUCGGCCCUUUAAUUGUUAUUGUCAUGGUAUGUUACAUGUGGUUAUGAUUUGUUAGAUCAGAAUCAGGGUAGACAGUAUGUUAUGCUCUUAUGAUCCGUAGGGAUUGGUAUGUUCGUAACGUGCUAGGUCGGUACUCUAGUUACAGGAGAAUUCUAUGAUUGAUGAUUAGUGUGACAGAUAUGUUUGAUGUUUGUAUAUGCAUGUAUGUGAUAGUAUGCGCACAUGGUUAUUUGUUGGUGGUUAGGUUGAGGCGGUCCUACUUUCUGCUGAAGGCCAACAUACCCUAUGAGCGGUCCGGGGAGACUAAAGGCCAACAUACCCUAUGAGCGGUCCGGGGAGACUAAAGGCCAACAUACCCUAUGAGCGGUCCGGGGAGACUGUAGACCCAAGUGGCGGACUAGUCAUGCCGAAGGCUUGGGAUAGGGUCAGACAGACUGUAGGCCCGGUAUGGCGGUCCAGUCAGGCCGAUGGCCCAAUAUGCAUGUUGAUUGAUUGAUUAUUACUAAUAUCGUAUUGUCAAUGUGGUAUUCGUAUUUUGGGAGUAGCUCACUAAGCCCUCGGGCUUACAGUUUUCAGUUUAUUGUUUCAGGUACUUCAGGUGAUCAUGGAAAGGCGAAGGCAUGACCGCACCGCUCCUCAUCCUUAUGUUAUGAUUUUUAGGACACUCUGAUGGAAAAAUGAUUUGAAAACAUUUUGUAAACAAUGCUAUUUGGUUUUUAUUUACGAUUAAAAAAGUUUAAAUUUGGCGUA
This 1127-nucleotide long non-coding RNA is filed under the name Lactuca sativa (garden lettuce). RNAcentral's name for it is "long non-coding RNA (LSAT_LNC000943)". Lineage: Eukaryota; Viridiplantae; Streptophyta; Magnoliopsida; Asterales; Asteraceae. The record is from RNAcentral.